CCGCGAAUGGCUCAUUAAAUCAGCUAUGGUUCCUUAGAUCUUACAUCCUUACUUGGAUAACUGUAGUAAUUCUAGAGCUAAUACAUGCCAAUGAGCCCUUACUUGUUUAAAGUCGGGCGGAUUUAUUAGAUCAAAACCAAUCGGAUUUUCCGUUUGUUUGAUGACUCKGGAUAACUUUUCUGAUCGCACGGCCYUUGUGCYAGCGACRUAUYUUUCAAGUGUUUGCCCUAUCAACUGUCGAUGGUAGGUGAUAUGCCUACCAUGGUUAUAACGGGUAACGGGGAAUCAGGGUUCGAUUCCGGAGAGGGAGCCUUAGAAAUGGCUACCACAUCYAAGGAAGGCAGCAGGCGCGCAAAUUACCCACUCUCAGUUCGAGGAGGUAGUGACRAAAAAUAACAAUACGGGACUCUUAUGAGGCCMCGUAAUUGGAAUGAGUACAAUCUAAAUCGUUUAACGAGUACCAAUUGGAGGGCAAGUCUGGUGCCAGCAGCCGCGGUAACUCCAGCUCCAAU
RNAcentral lists this ribosomal RNA (512 nucleotides) under Schizorhynchidae sp. 214386049. Its description in RNAcentral is "SSU rRNA". It matches the Rfam family "Eukaryotic small subunit ribosomal RNA", at positions 87 to 597 of the family's 1831-position model. Lineage: Eukaryota; Metazoa; Platyhelminthes; Rhabdocoela; Schizorhynchidae. The record is from RNAcentral.